RNAcentral lists this microRNA (22 nucleotides) under Caenorhabditis briggsae. Its description in RNAcentral is "Cbr-Mir-34_3p (mature (guide))". RNAcentral also lists the same sequence under 1 other name. The record is from RNAcentral. Lineage: Eukaryota; Metazoa; Nematoda; Chromadorea; Rhabditida; Rhabditidae.
ACGGCUACCUUCACUGCCACCC